RNAcentral lists this transfer RNA (72 nucleotides) under Camelus bactrianus (Bactrian camel). It matches the Rfam family "tRNA". From Rfam's summary of the family: Transfer RNA (tRNA) molecules are approximately 80 nucleotides in length. Their secondary structure includes four short double-helical elements and three loops (D, anti-codon, and T loops). Lineage: Eukaryota; Metazoa; Chordata; Mammalia; Artiodactyla; Camelidae. RNAcentral also lists the same sequence under 2 other names. The record is from Rfam by way of RNAcentral.
GAGGAUAUAGCUCAGUCGUAGAGUGUGUGCUUAGUAUAUACAAUGUCCUGGGUUCAAUCCCCAGUACCUCCU